ACUGACAUUAAUCUUAUCUGAUGUUAAGCAUCUAGAAAUGUAUGUGAGCGGUACCUUAUGUUUGAAUCGACAUGUUUAUCAUUUAAAGCAGACCUAUUUAUGCAGCUAAGUAGGAAGAAGUGUAUGCACCCAUUAAGUCCUCUUGGGGUUAAGACAUGCAAGAUUUCAAACGGUGGAUUGUGGGAUCUUUGAAUGUACGUACAUAUGCUCUUCUUACCUG
Non-coding RNA from Pelobates cultripes (western spadefoot toad), 220 nucleotides. The record is from the annotation of a GenBank genome assembly. NCBI's taxonomy places the organism in Eukaryota, Metazoa, Chordata, Amphibia, Anura, Pelobatidae.